RNAcentral lists this non-coding RNA (496 nucleotides) under Ixodes scapularis (black-legged tick). Its description in RNAcentral is "Eukaryotic small subunit ribosomal RNA". It matches the Rfam family "Eukaryotic small subunit ribosomal RNA", at positions 1234 to 1522 of the family's 1831-position model. The record is from Rfam by way of RNAcentral. Lineage: Eukaryota; Metazoa; Arthropoda; Arachnida; Ixodida; Ixodidae.
GGAGGAGCUCCUGAAGGACAGCAGGUUGCGGCAAGGCGGAGAUCAUUCAUCUUGUUAGUGCAAUUAAUGCAAAGGUACAGCGAGCUGGACAAGAAUAAUGAUGUUUGUCCUAUGUCCCUCCCGUUCUCCUUCUCCAGGGAUUAUCAUUGUUUCAUUACUCUGCCUGUGCACCUGGUUUAGUGCUUUUCUCCUCGGCAGGCGCUCUAGAAACGGUGGACCAAAUCAUCCUUGAUUCACUCUACUGCAGCAAGGAUGAUUGUGAUUCGGUGAAUGGUGGUGCAUGGCCGUUCUUAGUUGGUGGAGCGAUUUGUCUGGUUAAUUCCGAUAACGAACGAGACUCUAGCCUAUUAGAUAGGUGCUUGGUUCUCUGCACCUUGCACCCUUCAUAGAGGGACAAGCGGCUCCUGUGUAAAAGAAGACAGAGCAAUAACAGGUCUGUGAAGCCCUUAGAUGUCCAGUGCCGCACGCGCGCUACACAGAAGGAAGCAGCGUGUUU